RNAcentral lists this ribosomal RNA (754 nucleotides) under uncultured archaeon. Its description in RNAcentral is "bacterial SSU rRNA". It matches the Rfam family "Archaeal small subunit ribosomal RNA", at positions 102 to 859 of the family's 1478-position model. The record is from RNAcentral.
AGUCAACAUGCCCAGGGGACGUGGAUAACCUCGGGAAACUGAGGAUAAACCGCGAUAGGCCAUGAUUUCUGGAAUGGUUCAUGGCCGAAAUCUAUAUGGCCCCUGGAUUGGACUGCGGCCGAUCAGGCUGUUGGUGAGGUAAUGGCCCACCAAACCUGUAACCGGUACGGGCUCUGAGAGGAGGAGCCCGGAGAUGGGCACUGAGACAAGGGCCCAGGCCCUAUGGGGCGCAGCAGGCGCGAAAUCUCUGCAAUAGGCGAAAGCUUGACAGGGUUACUCUGAGUGAUUCCCGCUAAGGGGAUCUUUUGGCACCUUUAAAAAUGGUGCAGAAUAAGGGGUGGGCAAGUCUGGUGUCAGCCGCCGCGGUAAUACCAGCACCCCGAGUGGUCGGGACGAUUAUUGGGCCUAAAGCAUCCGUAGCCGGUACUGCAAGUCUUCCGUUAAAUCCACCUACUUAACAGUUGGGCUGCGGGGGAUACUACAGCGCUAGGAGGCGGGAGAGGCAAGCGGUACUCAAUGGGUAGGGGUAAAAUCCGCUGAUCCAUUGAAGACCACCAGUGGCGAAGGCGGCUUGCCAGAACGCGCUCGACGGUGAGGGAUGAAAGCUGGGGGAGCAAACCGGAUUAGAUACCCGGGUAGUCCCAGCUGUAAACGAUGCAGACUCGGUGAUGGGCUGGCCUUGUGCCAACCCAGUGCCGCAGGGAAGCCGUUAAGUCUGCCGCCUGGGGAGUACGGUCGCAAGACUGAAACUUAA